GGCGUAGACACCAUCGUGACGACACGUAGUAAUUGGGAGAGUCCAAUAGUUCCGCUAAGUGUUUUGACCGCUUUCAAUAAAUUAGAGAGUGAGUUCUACACUGUGGUAUCAGUCGUCCUCAUAUUGACCAAUCAAAUCCAUGCUCCGUUGAUAACGGCGGCAACAGUCAAAACACUAAGGACCUGAAUUUGUUACUGCCAAGGACCACAAACCGCUGGUUACGAGAACGACGAGGAGGCAAGAGGACAUCGUGAGAGGCGAGUGCCUGGGGAGCGGCGAGUGAGUGUGUGGGUGUGAGUGCGGGCGUAACGCACGGCGCGAGACAGAGUAAAGAUAAAACCUACGGAGAUUACGCUCCAUACUUCACGUCAACUGACCGAAAGUGAUGCGACGUGAGAUGUGUCCAGUGAGGUGAUUAUUAAAUUAAAUAAUUAAUAAGCAAAACGAGCAUUGGAAGAGUAAAGGAGCCUAGAGCUCAGUGCAUACCUGAUAAGUGAUACGUGAUCAGUGAUGCGAUUGAUGA
This 523-nucleotide long non-coding RNA is filed under the name Penaeus japonicus. Its description in RNAcentral is "uncharacterized LOC122262971". The record is from RNAcentral. Lineage: Eukaryota; Metazoa; Arthropoda; Malacostraca; Decapoda; Penaeidae.